Mesocricetus auratus (golden hamster) is the source of this 736-nucleotide long non-coding RNA. RefSeq lists it as uncharacterized. NCBI's taxonomy places the organism in Eukaryota, Metazoa, Chordata, Mammalia, Rodentia, Cricetidae. The record is from RefSeq and is a predicted model, not a curated record. The transcript is spliced from 4 exons.
CUCUUGCAGCUGUAUGCAUCUGGAACAGUGCGUCCUGGGGGAGCUGCACAAACACAGGGCGCACUGAGGGGUCGGAUGCUGAGGGGGGAACCAGGACAGCUGAGGAUGCCCCAGCCUGUGAGAUGCCUUUCCAUCCAAACUGAUUCUUUGGGGACAUGAGCUAUUAUCUUCACCACUUCAGAGAUGCUGAAGCAGAGGCUCAGGAGAUUAGGAUGAGCAGCCUGGAGCACACAGCAGGAAGGGCUCAACCCCCGGAAGACAUGAUGGAGAGGAUGCAAAGCAUGGAGAGCCAACGCAGCCCCCUCUGGCCCUCUGUCCUAGUGUGAUCUGAAUGCAGGCAUCAGGAGGCAGUUGAGCAUGAGGGGGUUGGCUUCCUGACCUUGGUGCUUAAAACAAAUGCUCACAUGGUUGAAGCUACCUAGUCCAUCUUUGGAAAACUGAGAAGCACCAAGACCCUCACAGACCUUUGGUUUGCCAAAGAGAUGGGCUCACACAGCUUCUGCCUCUGAAUGACGAUGCUGGUCACACAGAUUACGCCUGACAGCUCCGGAGCCUCUCUCUGACUUUCUGCUGAUAUUGGGGUGAACUUCAAACACAGCCGAGACUCCAAGUGCAUCUUAUUAGCAUGAGUUGCUGGCCGGAACAAAGUCUGUCAAAUUAUUUGAUAAAGAUCUGUUCAUUACCCUUAUCCAGCCCAAAGGAAAAUAUAACUGAAAUGCGGUCACAUGCUGCCGGA